RNAcentral lists this ribosomal RNA (498 nucleotides) under uncultured bacterium. RNAcentral describes it as "partial 16S ribosomal RNA". It matches the Rfam family "Bacterial small subunit ribosomal RNA", at positions 28 to 523 of the family's 1533-position model. The record is from RNAcentral.
GAUGAACGCUAGCGGCAGGCCUAAUACAUGCAAGUUGGACGGGAUUGAGAAGCUUGCUUUUCAUGAGAGUGGCGCACGGGUGCGUAACACGUAUGUAACCUACCUUAAUCAGGGGGAUAGCCUCUCGAAAGAGAGAUUAACACCGCAUAAAAUCAAUUUAUGGCAUCAUAGAAUGAUCAAAUAUUUAUAGGAUUAAGAUGGGCAUGCGGAACAUUAGCUAGUUGGUAAGGUAACGGCUUACCAAGGCUACGAUGUUUAGGGGAUCUGAGAGGAUGUCCCCCCACACUGGUACUGAGACACGGACCAGACUCCUACGGUGGGCAGCAGUAAGGAAUAUUGGUCAAUGGGCGCAAGCCUGAACCAGCCAUGCCGCGUGCAGGAAGACGGCCCUACGGGUUGUAAACUGCUUUUGUACCGGAAUAAACCUUUGUAUGUAUACGAAGCUGAAUGUACGGUAAGAAUAAGGAUCGGCUAACUCCGUGCCAGCAGCCGCGGUAA